RNAcentral lists this ribosomal RNA (253 nucleotides) under uncultured bacterium. RNAcentral's name for it is "partial 16S ribosomal RNA". It matches the Rfam family "Bacterial small subunit ribosomal RNA", at positions 524 to 776 of the family's 1533-position model. The record is from RNAcentral.
UACGGAGGGUGCAAGCGUUAAUCGGAAUUACUGGGCGUAAAGCGCACGCAGGUGGCUGAGUCAGUCGAUUGUGAAAGCCCUGGGCUUAACCUGGGAAUUGCAGUCGAUACUACUCAGCUAGAGUAUGGGAGAGGGUAGUGGAAUUCCCGGUGUAGCGGUGAAAUGCGUAGAUAUCGAGAGGAACACCUGCGGCGAAGGCGGGUUGCUGGGCUGACACUGACGCUGAGGCGCGAAAGCUAGGGGAGCGAACGGG